UCAAAUCUAUCAAGGAAACCCUAGAUAAAAAAAACUCAUCUUAUAAUAAUCUCUCCAUACAACUUGUUGAAUUUCACUUGCCUUAUUUGCAUGAGUUACCUCCUCACUACCAUACAACUAAAGACCUCCCUCCCCAUCUUAACUCAACUCUUAUUCAUGCCUUCCAAAUGGCUUCUUCCAAAUUUCCAAGCAUAAUUGAAACCCUAAAACCUAACCUGAUUAUAUAUGAUGGGUUCCAACCAUGGGUAGCAACUAUGGCUUCAUCAUGUAAUAUUCAUGCUAUUAUGUUUUGUGUUACUUCAACUUCUAAUCUUGCUUAUUUCUACCACCAAUUUCUUUAUGGGAGUUCAAGCCUUCCAUCUUUUCCAUUUUCUUCCAUAUACCUUCAUGACUAUGAGAUCAAGAAAUUAGACAUACAACCGAUAAAACCACGCGAUGAGAAAGCUUUUGGAUACAUAAUCCUUAAGUCUUUUGAACAAUCUCACAACAUUGUUUUGUUGAACACUUGUAGGGAGAUUGAGGGGAAGUAUAUAGAUUAUGUAUCUACAGUAGGAAAGAAGGAGUUGAUACCAAUUGGACCAUUAAUUUGCGAGGUGACCAUAGGUGAGGAGGAGGAUUGGGGGACAAUUCAAUCAUGGCUAGAUAAGAAGGAUCAACUAUCAUGUGUUUAUGUAUCAUUUGGAAGUGAAAGCUUCUUGUCAAAGCAAGAAAUUGAAGAGAUAGCAAAAGGGCUAGAGCUAAGCAAAGUUAAUUUUAUUUGGACAAUCAAAUUUCCAAAAGGGGUGAACACAACAAUAGAAGAAAUGGUUCCACAGGGUUUUCUUGAAAGUACAAAGGGGAAAGGGAUGGUUAUUGAAGGAUGGGCUCCACAAAGUCUAAUUUUGAACCAUUCAAGCAUUGGAGGUUUUGUAACUCAUUGUGGAUGGAACUCGAUUUUAGAAAGCAUGAGUUUUGGCAUACCAAUAAUAGCCAUGCCUAUUAAUCAUGAUCAACCAUUGACUUCAAGAUUAGUGGAGGAACUUGGCAUAGGGGUGGAGAUUUUGAGAGGUGAAAAUGGGAAAAUAAUGAAAGAAGAGGUGGCAAAAGGAUAAGGAAGGUGGUAGAGGAGAAGACUAGGAAACAUAUAAAUAUGAAGGCAAUGCAAUUGAGUGAGAAGAUAAAAUUGAAAGGGGAGAAAGCUAUUGAUGAAGGGGUUAAAAAGUUGUUAAAGCUAUUAUGUUGAUUUAUAAGAGAAUGAUGAUGAUGAAUUGGAAUGAAUUUGGACACCAUAAGUAUUUAGAUAUUAAUAAAGAUUGAAAUAAGAGAAUUUAAUAUACAAAUUGUAUUGAAUGAUGUAAUCUAGAGAUAGGUUUCUUAAGAUCAUAUUGUCUUAUAUGAGUUCAAACUUUAGUUGAACUAUUUUCCUUGCUGUAUUGUGUAUUUAGAGAGGAUUAUACCUCUUAAUCGAAAUACUGAAAAAUAUAUACAAAGCUUAAAUUAUUUCAGACAUAAACAAGACAUUUCAAAGCUAAAAUUCACCACCAAAGGAGUGUAAUGGGAUGAAUGAAAUUAUAUUCCUUCACCUUUUUCAAAGGUCUCAAGUUUGAACCCUAGAAAUGGAGAAACUCUGACAUUUUCCCUUUCACGAGCUAGCUACAUAACACAAAUCUAUAUUAGUUGGAAUAAUGAACAUUGGCCACGUGAUAAUUAGUUAUACAUAUGUAUUGUUGGGAUCUAUGUAGUUUUGAUAAUUGACAAAGAAAAAUGGAACGUAUAGUCAAGUCGGUCAAAGGCACAUUGUCUCAAUUAGUUGAUUACAAAACAAUUAUGAUAAUCUUAAAGAAGACAAACAAGUGUUGAAUGAUAGAGUUAUAGUUUAACUAGAACACCAAUGAAGAGAUAAGUUUAACUAAAGGAAGAGUCCAAUUGGAAGUAGAACUCAAAGUCAAUAGAUAUCGAAUGAAAGAGGAGUUUAAGGAGAAGAAAAACUUUCUAAAAUAGAUAUGUGCUUAAAUAGACGAGAACUCAUUCAGAAUACUCACACACUUAAAGAGCAAAAAAAAAAAGCAAUUGGCAUAUUGGCUUUACUGUGCUGUUGAAUAUUGAUUAAACACUUUGAUGAACCAAGUCAUAUUACAUAGUUUAUGUUCUAGGAGUUUUUCUCUUUGUGUUGAGUACUAAUGCUUCUUUAGUUCAGUAAUUUAUAAACUGAAGUAAAAUUAUAGUCUUCAAGUUAGGGGCAACUCAAGACUUGGAACACAUACCUUGGAAGGUUUGUGUGCUAAUGACAAAUUAGAGUUUAUAAUUUUUUAGAUUACAUAAGUUUAUAAUCUUUUGUUGCAAGGCUUAUUGAAUUUGAGAGUUACAUAUCAUGGUUUUUACACCUUUCUGAGUUGACUGUUUUCACGUAAAAUAGUGUUUUCUUAAUUAACUGUUUUAUUAAAACAUGUCAAAACAAUCCAUUUCACCUACACAAAGAGUUAAGUUAAGCAAUGAAAUUGUAGAUCCCAUAGAAUACCGUGUAUAUACUUGCCACAUGAUGAUUGCGACAUGCUUAAUUAUUAUUUUCCAAAGAGAAUGAAAUAGUUGGCUAAGACAGUCAUAUUAAUCCAUCGAACCCAUUAUUUCUUCAUUGUCUAUGUACAUUUAUCCUUAAUAAUUCCCCUUUUUAUCAGUUCUUCGGUUAUUGAUUAAAUUUAUUUUAGAACUAAGUGAAAUGAAACAAAUUUGUCCUGCAGUAAUAACUGGGGUCAAAUACAUUUUUAUCGUUAAUAUUUAUUGGUAUUAAAAAACAAAUAAUUUGCCCUUAUUUUUAAACGCUUUUGACUUUUAAAAUAUUACGUCUUCUAAUACUUUUCUUAUCAAAAUUGGACUCUCUCACUUCCACAAAGCUUAAUUACGUGAACAAUAUUGUUAUUUCUAUUACAGGAACGUGUCACAUUAUCGGAUAAAGAUCCGGUCAAGUAUAAUUAGGUCAAGUAAUGUUCAAUGGCCUCAUAGAUUCAUGCCAUGUGUAUUAUGUAAUAAUUUAUGGUUGAGAUCCAUUUAAAAUAUAUUCAUCUUAAUAAUAAAAACAAUAAACCCGUCAACUAUUUUUAUUUUUUAAAACUAUCAAAUAAAGAAAUUAAGUGUACCCUAGCUAAUAUUUUCAGAAAAAAAAAAGAUUGGCGGGAAUAUGCGGACUUCCCGACUUUUUUACCCGUCAAACCUCGUACUUGUAUUGGAUUUUUAAAAUUAUACUAAUUUUAAAGAAUUUGACACUUUUGAAGAAUUCGAGUAAAUAUAUUUUUAUAAUUAUUUGAAACCUCCAAAUAAGUUUUUUUUUUUUAAUGUAUUAUCAUGUUCUUUAGUUGAAUUAUUAUUUAGAACUCAAUGAUGUUUUUAAGUUUGAUCUAUUUUUGGAGAUUACUUCAGAAUUUGGAGAAAGCAUGUGCGAAAUUACUCCUGAAGAAGUUUGGCGGGUAAAAGGUCAGGAAGUCCGCAUAUUUCCAUCAAUCUUAAUUUUUUUUUCUUGAAAAAUAUUAGCUUGGGUACACUUAAUUGCUUUAUUUGAUAGUUUAAAAAAAUAAAAAUAGUUGACAUCUUUGUUGUUUUUAUUAUUAUAAUGAGUAUAUAAUUUAAAUGGUUCUUGUCACGACCCAGACCAUCGUGAUUGGCACCCACACUAACUUUCCGGUGGGAGAACCACUACUACAACCCAAACCAAGAAACUAAACAAAAACUAAGGCAUUUAAGUUACGGAAGCAAGUUUAUAUAUAUAUAUAUAUAAAUGUAUAUGCAAUUUUGCAUCUCAAGAAAUUUAAAAGUACACUUUACAGAAGGAAGAUGAAAAUUUUUCAAAAAAAUAACAUACAAUGGUGCUUUUUAAUUAAUUUUUAAAAAUAAAUCUUCUCUAGAGAUCGAACCCUCAACCUCACAAUCAAAAACCAACACUCGAACUAGUGAACCAUCCACUAAUUUGUUAUCAUGUGUUCCAUUAUUUGAAAAUUUACAUAUUUUAAGAAUUAUACAAAUAAUAUAUCGAGUUUUGUCGGAUGACCACGGGUUUCGAUGUCCCAUUUUUUACACUUAAAUUCUCCCUUGCACACAACCAAUGCGGGUUCGAAUCUCGCUGCCAACACCUAAUUUUUUGCUUGCUCCUUUUUUUCUUUUCUUUUCUUUUUUGUCUUUUUCAUUAGUGUGUAAAGGGCUUAAUUUUUUCUCUCCAUUCAUUCUUAUUUAUUUACUAUUCUUUAUUAAUUCAAAUUGACUUCUUUUCAUAAUUAAUUUUUAAUUUUUUUACUUUCUCUUGCACUAAUUAUUAAUCUCUUGAUAUGCGUGUUACAUGUUUAUUUUUUAUCAACUAAUGAGUACUGAAUUAUGAACGUCAAAUAAAUAUUAUUAAGAAUAUAUUUAAAUAGUAGUUUUUAAAAAAUACAAGUUUUAAAAAUGAUGAAUAUUAUUAUUAGAGUUUUUUUUUAAUUUAAAGGUUCUAUCGAUCUUCACCGACGUUCUUGCUAAGUAAGAUGACUAGGCUGAAACUACAAUUUUUAUUCUUUUCUUACUAUAUAUCUCCAACAACACAUAAAGUCAAUGGUAUAUGAAUAUAUUAUGUUAAUAUUAUUAGAUGGUUUAUACAAGCUCAAAUUUUAAUGUGAAAAAUCUUUUUUUUCUCAAAGUUUCAGUGAAUAAGACAUCUAAUUCCAAAAAUGAAAUAAAAAUUGAAUUGUUUAGUUAUCUCUAAUCUCAGGAUAUCUAAAAGAAAAUAUUACUAACAUGCAUAUUUGAUCGAUUUGUUUAUAAAAUAAAAUAAAAUCAAUAACCCGAAUUGUAACCUAAAAUUAAAGCAACCGAUCCUUUUAUCUUGCUUGAACGUUAUGACACCCACUGACCUCCAAAUCCUAGAUCCACCUUUAUAUAUAUGAUUAUGUUCUAUAUAAUAGUAAAUCAUUAGCCGUCACGCAACUACAAUACAUACAGAAAUUUGAACUUUAUUUGAAGAGUACACUUGUCAUGCCUAGUAUAACUAGUAUAAUUAAUAGAAUUUUUAAAAAAUAUUUUCCAUAUAGCUAAACUUUUUCUAACCUAUAAAACUAUGAUAUAUGCUUUAUAAAUUUUUCCAUAAUUAUUCCAUUCAUGGAGAGAAUUAAGGAAAAUAGUCCUAGUAUCCUUUUAUUUCCAUGGUUAGGUUUUGGCCACGUAAAUCCCUAUUUGGCACUAGCCAAGAAAUUAUCAAAAAUGAAUUUUCACAUAUAUUUUCUUUCAACACCAAUUAUUCUCAAAUCUAUCAAGGAAACCCUAGAUAAAAAAAACUCAUCUUAUAAUAAUCUCUCCAUACAACUUGUUGAAUUUCACUUGCCUUAUUUGCAUGAGUUACCUCCUCACUACCAUACAACUAAAGACCUCCCUCCCCAUCUNNNNNNNNNNNNNNNNNNNNNNNNNNNNNNNNNNNNNNNNNNNNNNNNNNNNNNNNNNNNNNNNNNNNNNNNNNNNNNNNNNNNNNNNNNNNNNNNNNNNNNNNNNNNNNNNNNNNNNNNNNNNNNNNNNNNNNNNNNNNNNNNNNNNNNNNNNNNNNNNNNNNNNNNNNNNNNNNNNNNNNNNNNNNNNNNNNNNNNNNNNNNNNNNNNNNNNNNNNNNNNNNNNNNNNNNNNNNNNNNNNNNNNNNNNNNNNNNNNNNNNNNNNNNNNNNNNNNNNNNNNNNNNNNNNNNNNNNNNNNNNNNNNNNNNNNNNNNNNNNNNNNNNNNNNNNNNNNNNNNNNNNNNNNNNNNNNNNNNNNNNNNNNNNNNNNNNNNNNNNNNNNNNNNNNNNNNNNNNNNUUUUGUUGAACACUUGUAGGGAGAUUGAGGGAAAGUAUAUAGAUUAUGUUUCUACCAUAGGAAAGAAGGAGUUGAUACCAAUUGGACCACUUAUUCGCGAGGCGAUCAUAGGUGAGGAGGAGGAUUGGGGGACAAUUCAAUCAUGGCUAGACAAGAAGGAUCAACUAUCAUGUGUUUAUGUAUCAUUUGGAAGUGAAAGCUUCUUGUCAAAGCAAGAAAUUGAAGAGAUAGCAAAAGGGCUAGAGCUAAGCAAAGUUAAUUUUAUUUGGACAAUCAAAUUUCCAAAAGGGAUGAAAACAACAAUAGAAGAAAUAGUUCCACAAGGUUUUCUUGAAAGUACAAAGGGAAAAGGGAUGGUUAUUGAAGGAUGGGCACCACAAAGUCUAAUUUUGAACCAUUCAAGCAUUGGAGGUUUUAUAACUCAUUGCGGAUGGAACUCGAUUUUAGAAAGCAUGAGUUUUGGCAUACCAAUAAUAGCCAUGCCUAUUAAUCAUGAUCAACCAUUGAAUUCUAGAUUAGUGGAGGAACUUGGCAUAGGGGUGGAGAUUUUGAGGGGUGAAAAUGGGAAAAUAAUGAAAGAAGAGGUGGCAAAAGGAAUAAGGAAGGUGGUAGAGGAGAAGACUAGGAAACAAGUAUGUUUGAAGGCAAUUCAAUUGAGUGAGAAGAUAAAAUUGAAAGGGGAGAAAGCUAUUGAUGAAGGGGUUAAAAAGUUGUUGAAGCUAUUAUGUUGAUUUAUAAGAGAAUGAUGAUGAUGAAUUGGAUUGAAUUUAGACACCACAAGUAUUUAGAUAUUAAUAAAGAUUGAAAUAAGAUCAUAUUGUCUUAUAUGAUAUGAUGUAAUCUAGAGAUAGGUUUCUUAAAAUCAUAUUGUCUUAUAUGAGUUCAAACUUUAGUUGAACUCUCUUCCUUGCUGCAAUAUUGUGUAUUUAGAGAGGAUUAUACCUCUUUAUCGAAACACCGAAAAAUAUAUACAAAGUUUAAAUUAUUUCAGACGUAAACAAGACAUUUCAAAGCUAAAAUUCACCACCAAAGGAGUAUAAUGGAAUGAAUGAAAUUAUAUUCUUUCACCUUUUUCAAAGGUCUUUUGUUUGACUCCUAGAAUUGGAGAAACUCUAACAUUUUCCCUUUCAUGAGCCCUACUUAACACAAAUCUAUAUUAGUUGGAGUAAUGAGCAUUGGCCACGUGAUGAAUAGUUAUACAUAUAUAUUGUUGGGAUUUAUGUAGUUUGAUUAGGGUUGUUCAUGGUUAUGGUUAAAAAAUUAAACCGAUUAAAAAAUCGAUAUUUAGUUUGGUUUGAUUUUAAAUUUUGAUAAUCGAUACUAUUUAGUUUGAUUUUGGUUUUACUUAAAACCAACCGCAAAAAUAACCAAAUCGAACCGAUAAAUUAGAUAAUGUAAAUUUUAUAAUUAUUUAUAUAUUAUUCAUAAAUAAAAUAUAAAUAUUUUGUUAAAUUUUAAUGAACUUAAGUCUUUAACAUACCAUUUUCUCAAGCCCAAUACUUAAAUUUUAGCCCAACUAUUACAAUCCUAAGUCCAAGUCCAUCAAAAUCUAUUACUUUAGUCUUUACCUACCCUACCUCACAUAACAAAGUCACACCUUCUGUUAAUUGAAUCACUUUGUUUGUGUAAUGUUAACUCUAGUAUUGUUGAAUUUGCUUAAUUAAACCUACAAUAGCUUUUCUGUGGAAUGUUCAUGUACUAGGUGUCUGUGUAUAUGGAGAUACGUAUGUCCUCAAAAACUUAUUACUUUCAAACAAAAAAAUCAGAAAAAUUGAGCCAGACCAACAAUAACUAAAGCGAUGGUUAUUUUUUUCGUUUGGUUUAGUUUUAGAAAUUUUAAAAAAUCGACUAAAUUGGUUUGAUUUUGAUUUUAACCAAUAAUUGAUCCAAACCGAACCAGAAACACUCCUAAUUUUCAUAAUGACAGAAAAAUGGAACAUGCUAGUCAAGUCGAUCAAAGGCGCAUUGUCUCAAUUAGUUGAUUAAAAAACAAUUAUGAUAAUCUUAAAGAAGACAAACAAGUGUUGAAUGAUAGUGUUAUAGUUUGACUACAUCACCAAUGAAGAGAAAGUUUAACUAAAUGAUGAGCCCAAUUGGAAGUAGAAGUCAAAGUCAAUAAAUAUCGAAUGAAAGAGGAGUUUAGGGUGAAGAAAAACUUUCUAAAAUAGAUAUGCUUAAAUAGACGAGAACUCAUUCAGAAUACUCACACACUUAAAGAGCAAAAAAGCAAUUGGCAUAUUUGUUUUACUGUGCUAUUGAAUAUUGAUAGAACACUUUGAAGAACCGGGUCCUAUAUAUUACAUAUAGUUUAUGUUCUAGGUGUUUUUUUCUUUGUGUUGAGUAUUGAUGUUUUCUUAGUUCAAUAAGUUAUAAACUGAAGUAGAAUUAUAGUCUUCAAGUUGGGGGCAACCCAAAGGCUUGGAAACACAUACCCUGGAAUGUUUGUGUGCUGAUGAGAAAUUAUAGUUUAUAAUUUCUUAGAUUACACAGGUUUAUAACCUUUUGUUGCAUGGAUUUAGUGAAUUUGAGAGUAAAUCUUGUAGAGGUACAUAUAAUGAUUUUUACACCUUUUUGAGUUGACUAUUUUCGUGUAAAAAUAGUGUGUUUUUAAUUAAUUGUUUUAUUAAAACACAUUAGACAAUUCGUUUCACUUACGCAAAAAGUUAAGUCAAGUAACGAAAUUGUAGAUCCCAUAGAAUACUGUGUAUAUACUUGCCACAUGAUGAUUGCGACAUGCUUAAUUAUUAUUAAUCCAUCGAGCCCAUUAUUUCUUCAUUGUCUAUAUACAUUUAUCCUUAAUAAUUCCCCUUCAGAGUUUAUUAGUUCUUCGGUUAUUGGUUAAAUUUAUUUUAGAACCAAGUGAAAUGAAUUUGUCCUCCAUUAAUAACUGGGGUCAAAUACAUUUUUACCAUUAAUAUUUAUUGGAUUAAAAAAUAAAUAAAUUUCCCUUAUUUUUAAACGAUUUAGACUUUUAAAAAAAUUACGUUUUCUGACACUUUUCUUAUCAAAAUUGGACUCUCUCACUUCCACAAAGCUUAAUUACGUGAACAAUAUUGUUGUUUCUUUUAUAUGGACGUGUCACAUUAUCACCAUGCGACAUUUACUACUUCUAUCAGAUUGUAGGAAUAUGUCACAUUAUCACUUCACUAAUUUUCAAGUAAUUUGAACCUAAAAAAAUAGGGAAAAUUAUGCGGAUAAGUAACAUAUAUUAUUUAAUUAGCUAAUAUAGCUAUGAUUUGAAUUAAUUAUCAUUAGCAACCUUUUAUUAGCUAUGACUAGAGAGCGAUGCUCGUGCGAUGCACGGGGUCUAAGCUCAACAAUUUGAUUUGUAAUGUAAUCAAAUAUGCAACAUUUAUUAUUAAAAAAAAAAUGGACCAAAAGAUAUAUCUUACCUUAAAUUUUUCGUCAUUACAGAUUGUAUUAGCAUCAAGUUAAUAAUGUAUAGUACCGUCAAAAAAAUAUAGUUGGUGCAUAGUUAGGUUCGUCUGACAACCAAAGUAACUACACCUAAAUAUUUUAACAAUUUAUAUAACACAUUGAUUUCAUAACAAAAUCACUACAUGGGAAAGAAUCAUCAACAAUUGCAAUUUUGUAAAUUAACCAAAAAAAAAUCUCUGCCAUCAGACGAAAAUUGUAAUGUCACACAAUUUUUAGUUAAGUUUUUCUUAAUCUUGCAACUGUGAACAAUAAUCUAGCUUUCAUUUUUUCAAGCAGAUAUUUUUUUCAUAUGGAUGUUGGUGCUUCUUCAGCGGUACAUUUGUACCGUUCAGAAAAAGUAAAAUAAAAUAGGAUUCAGGAGUAAAGUUUUCGUCUAAACCUAUAAAAAUGAAGUGACUCUCAUGGAACAGUUAAAUACCACUCUACCCUUUUCAAUUUGUUUUCUCCAUUUGUAUUUCAAAUUGCUUUCUCCAUUUAUAUUUGGUCCCCGACGUAAGCAUUGUGUGUUAUUUGUUAGAAAGUCAUCCACCUGGAGAGGAAGGCAUAACAGAGAAUUAGGGAUCAUGACAAAUUUCAACCGAACAAAUUAACACAUUUUUAAAUGGGGAACUUACAUAAAUAUACUAUAUUAAGAAAAUAUUUACCAUCUAUAGCAAUAAUAUUUUCUUUUCACUUGAUCACUUUGAAUACAUUUAUAAUACAAAUUUAAUACAUAUUACAGAGAACACUUGUAACGACUCGAACUGUCGUUAAUUAGGAAAUGAAAAAUAUUGAGGAAAUUUUGGUCUCCCAGCCUGCCAGAGUGGGCCUGAUGCCGCUAGGGCGGUGGCGCUCUAGCAAGAUAAGUUGCCGCCAUAGCAGGAUGGGCGAGACAGAUUGUAAAUAACGCAAAGUCUGAUUUUCUCAUUUUUCCAAAAACACCAAAAAGAGGCAGGAUUACCCCAGAAACCCUUUUAAGGCUGCUCUAGGCUUGGGAAGGAAGGAGAAAGAGAUUUCUAGCAUAAGGAGGUUGAUAUAUUGCGGACUUCCGGUCAAGAUUCACCGUCCCGUCGCUCAAAAAUCAGAAUUGAAGCUAUAAUCCCGUGCAACUGCUUAGCACCCAGGUAGGCUGAAUUUUAUUAAUUGAGUAGUAUAAAUUUGUAAUUCACUGCAUAGUAUAUUGGUAAUGGACGGUAGAAUUCAUGUGUAGGCUUUUGUGCACUGAAAGGAGAUGAUUAAACAUAUAUUCGUAGGGUUGUAUCAGACAUAUACCGUAGGAGAAAGUACUACUCCAUGAACUAGGGUAGGUGAAUGCUUGAUGUCAUGUUUGUGUGAUGUAUGUUAGUGUUUGAUUCAUUGUGAUGCAUAUAUGUAUGCGAAUGUUGCACUGUUGAUCACAUUAAAUGCGAAUUAGUAUGAAUGGGUGAUUGUAUGCCUUGAACCAACACUUGAUUGUAUGAUUUUGAGAAUGUGCAUUGUGAUUGUGGCUUGUUGAAUGGAUCGGGUGUUACGUUCCAACACAUUAACUGGGAUCGGAUGUCACGUACCGACAUACAUAUUGGAUCGAAUGUCACGUACCGACAUACAUAUUGAAUCGGGUGUCACGAUCUGGCACACUAACAGUUUGGGCUUGGGUUCCAUGAGAGGACCAUUGACUUGUCAAAUAUGUGUAAUAUUGAUAAUGUUUUAUUUAUUUAUUUUUAAAAAAAAUGAGGUUUUAGAGUCGCCACUAAUUAAGAAAAUUAUUUUUUCAAAAGAUUAAAACAGUAAAUCUAAUGAAAAUAUUUAAAGGAGGUUCGGGGUUCACAUUAACAUUUCGAAAAGGAUUUGAAAGCACCCGAAAUGCCCGCGAACACGCAAUUAUUCGGUAAUUAACUAUUUAGCUAAAAAGAUAAGCAUGCUUGAUUAAGUUGCAGAAAUAAAUAAUUUAAAACUUAAAAUCAUUUUCUAGGGGAAAGGGAAAAUAUUAUAAGAAUACUUACUAAGUAAUUAUUUAAAAGUCAAGCAAAAAUAGAUAUUUGUUUAAUUUUAAAUAGUUAACACAAAACGGUUAUUCUUUUGGGGAAUUGAAUUUUGAAAACUUUAAGAUUAGUAGCAAAUAAUAAGUAAACAACUAAGGAAUACGGAUGGUAAAAGAAAAGAGAUUUGGGCCCAAGUCUGAUUUUCUCUUCGCCUGAGCUAGUAAUUGGGGCUAAUUUCGUUUUGGACUGUUGGUCCAAUAUUUAGUACCUGUCCUAAUAACUAAAUUUCAUUCUUUGGGCUUUUGGCUCAAUUCUUGCCCUCUGUAUCUGUCCUAAUGUCUAACCAAUAGUGCUAAUAGUUCAUUAAUAGUUCUCCUUCGCGGCUUUUAAAGAGAUUGAGAGGAAUAUGCAAGAAAUGGGAGUCCAUUAGACUCAUUCGGAUAUCACAUGUGAAAUAGAGAAAAAUGGACAAAGUUAACACAUGUAAAUAGCAAAUAACACUAAGUUUUCGAAAAAAACAUUCAAACAAGGGAUGCAGGCAAAUAAAGCUACUAUGAGUAUGGGAAACAAAACCAGAGCUAUUACUAAGUUUAAUCUUCCAAAAAAGAAAAUCAGCCAAUAGGUCACUGGAUCCUUUGAUCUUAAACAAAUAGCAAAGGCCAAAAUUACAGCCCCAAAGGUAAAUUAUUUUCCAUUUAAACAGGUUUCCGGCCGGAAGAAUAAAGCACACGGAGGCAAUGAACGACAAACUAGCCCCCAAGCAACGACAUGGCUGGCAUACGAAAUUCCAAGAUACAACAUUUUAAGAGACAAAAAGAUGAACAAUACAAGGCAAACUUGCAGAAAAAAGCUGGAAACAGUGCAUAUGCAACCUGGAGAAAGAAAAUAAAGCUUACACUUCGAAAUAAACCUUUUUGUCGAGGUAAUUGGAGAAGACGACAAAGCGAUCUGCUUUUUGCCGUGAUUUCCGCCGCUGCUUGAUUUCCGUGUAUUUUGACGGAAUCGUGAAGUUGAAAUUGAUGCCGCUUGGAAUUGUUGAAGACGUCGUGUUCACGCCGUAAAUUGGGUAUCCGUUAUUGUUGUCGUUUCUGUGAACGUUUGGAGCUGCUGUUUGACGUUGAGCACCUGGGUUUCUUUUGAGAAGGAAAAGGGUCGGGUCGGGUCGGGUAUAUUUUACUGUUGUGCUGAGAUUUGGAGAAAAAAAAUUGGGCCUGGGAACUUGAUUGAAAAAAAAGGGGCUACUGAUUUGUAUUUUGGUAUGAAUAAAUGGCUCAAUUUUUGGGUUUUAAAGAAUUGGAGGCUAAGAUAAGAAAUGGCUAUAAUUGCAAUUAUAAAGAAUUAAAAUUAUGACCAAUUGAGGUUAAAAACGUAGUUGAAUUGAAAUUAAUCGGUGAAUUCUUCUAGCAAUCAAAUGAGAUAAAUUAAUAUUAAUUAAUUAACGAGCUUCUAAAUUUUAACCAAAAUAAAAUAAUUAAUUUAAUUAUAAAAUGAAUUAAUUCAAAAUAUAAAACAUAAUUUAAACUAAAUUAAAUUAAUAAAAUAUUUAACUUAAAAAGUGUAAAAUCUUUUUUUUGAAUGAUUUUUAAAUAUUCAAAAGUUAUUAAUUACAUAAUCAAUUACAUAAAAGCUAUUUCUUAUCUAAAAUAUUAUUAAGGUGACUAAAUCACUUUAAGAUCUUGAAAUAUAUUUGAAAUUUAUAAACUAAUUAUUCCAAAUCGUUUGGGAUCUAAGAAGCUCGAAAAUUAAUUUCUAUCGGGGAGGGUUAAAAUUUGGUGUCAACAGAUAAUGUGGAAUUGGGAAUGUUUCCUAAAAAGAUAACUUGACUGUUAAUUAUGUUCUUAUGUGUAAGUUCAUGGUGUUGUAAGGUAAUUGGGUAUAUCUCUUAAUAAAUGAACUGUGAAUGGUAGAGCCCCUAAUCGGAUUGUGAUAUGAUAAGUGGGGACCAAGAGUCUCGGUGUUGUCAGUGGCGUAGCCAAGAAUCUUAUGAAGAGGGUCCAAACUUUGAAUAGUAUUUUAAAAAAAAAAUCGAUGAUUUAUAGAGAUUCUAUUUUCAAUAAUAUUAUGAUAUAAUUUGGGUAAAUGGGUCUUCUAUUUGUAGAGAAAGAAAAUAUUAUUCCAAAAGGAAAAUGUAUUAAAAUUUAAGAAAAUCUUAUUCCACAAAGAAAAAGGUAUUAAAAUAUAAGGAAAUCCUAUUCCGCAAGGAAAAGGUAUUAAAAUUUAAGGAUUUUUUUUCAAUGAAAACCUUAUUCCAAAAGAAAAAUGUAUUAAAAUUUUAAGAAAAAAGGUAUUAAAAAUAUAAGGAAAUUUUAUUCCACAAGGAAAAUGUAUUAAAAUUUAAGGAAAUAAUUCAAUUUUAAUUAAAAAAAAUCCUUAUUGGAGGUGAGAUUUGAACUUGGGUCACUUAAGACAAGUAUGACACUAUUUACCACUAAGCUACUGAACAUUUAUGUUAAACUUACGCAUGUUGAUUUACUUACAAACUUCAAGAAGGCAAAAUAAUUAUAGAAAAACGAAAACGCUUAUGCAGGGAAUCGAACUGGGGCAGCGAGUGGACUUGUGACAGCUCUUGCCAUCUCCACUGCGGGUCACUUUGUUAUUUCAGGGUGUCCAAAAUACCAUAUAUGCCAAUAUAACUCAAAACUUUACGUGUAUAUAUCGUAUAAUUUUUCGAUGAAGGAUGUCCAAUUGGACAUCCUUGGACAAAGUGGCCACCCCUGGGUGUUGUUGCUAUUUUAGAAAGAUGGUCAUGUGUAUUGUCAUUGAGGAUGGGGUGGUGUUAUGCUGUAGUGUUAAUAGUUGGGUUUUUCCCUCGAAAGGAGGUAGCAUUGAAACGGUUAACAAGUCUUGAUAGAAGUACUAUAGGGUUACAAGUUGAGUGGUGUUGGGAAUGAACUAAGGGUGUAUCAUGAGUGUUGAUCGGUUGGUAGUGGUCAUAUCCAGAAUCUCUCAUAAGAGAUAGACGGUUAAGCUAUGAGUAAGAAUGAAGCGAGUAAAGGGUUAGAGUCAAGUAUGCUAGUAUGAUAUUAAUAUCCGGAAUGGUAAGGGUAGGAAAAUAUAAAGGUAGAGGAGCGAACAGUCUUAUUGCAUGUUCUUGCUAGUCGAUUUCUUAUAUUAUGUGGUGGGUAUCGGGUUGACCGAUGAUGCCUACCAGUACAUGUGAUUGUACUGAUACUACUCUUGCUAUGCCUUUUUGGCAUAGUCUGGUUGCAAGAUCAGUGAUGUUUCGUAGGUGAAGACGAAGGCAAUCUCCAACAACUUCUACUUUUCCUUCCGCAUGUUGGGAGUUGCGUCAUUUAUGAUUUGUUAUACCUUGUACUCUUAGUAGCUCUUGUACCUGUUUAGACUAGAUCCCUGGAGUGUUAAUUACUUUAAAAGUCUUAACUCAUAUUGUUGUCAAAACCCUUAUUUUAUGAAAAUCUUAUGAAUAUUAUUGUUCUUCAGCUUUCUUAAAAUCUUCCGCAUGUCUUAAAACUGUUUUGGAAAUCGAGGGUUCUCCUACUUAGAUGUUAGAGUAGGUGCCCGCACGGCCCGGUGGGUUGGGUCGUGACAACAAUUUAUAAAACACAUAUAAUACAAGAUUUAUUGAUGAAUAAUACAUUUAUCACACAUUUUAAUACACUUAGGGGUCAUUUGGUAGAGUGUAUUAGGGGUGGCAAAUGGGUGGUUUGGAUCGAAUUUGGAUGGAUUGAGUUAAAAUGGAUUGGAUCACAAUCCACCAUAUACAUUAUGGGUAAAUAUAAAUAAUGGGUAAAUAUGGAUUUGGAUAAAAUGGUUGUAACCCACUUUAAUCUCUUAAAGCAAAAAAAUAUUAAAUCAAAGCUAAGUUAUUAAUACCUCAACCCCUACCAUCCCACCCUACCACUUCCACCCCACCCCUGUACCCCCACCCCCAACCCCCGCCCCCCCCANNNNNNNNNNNNNNNNNNNNNNNNNNNNNNNNNNNNNNNNNNNNNNNNNNNNNNNNNNNNNNNNNNNNNNNNNNNNNNNNNNNNNNNNNNNNNNNNNNNNNNNNNNNNNNNNNNNNNNNNNNNNNNNNNNNNNNNNNNNNNNNNNNNNNNNNNNNNNNNNNNNNNNNNNNNNNNNNNNNNNNNNNNNNNNNNNNNNNNNNNNNNNNNNNNNNNNNNNNNNNNNNNNNNNNNNNNNNNNNNNNNNNNNNNNNNNNNNNNNNNNNNNNNNNNNNNNNNNNNNNNNNNNNNCUAAUUUUUUUGAAUAAUAAAUUAAUAUUUUUGAAAAUUAAAAAUUAAUAUUAGAAUUUUUAUUUUUAGCACAAUUUAGAAUUUUGAGUGGAAGGAGAAGUGAGUGAUCAAUUAUGGGUCAAUAUGGAUACCCAUAUUUUACCCAUUUUGACCAUAUUUGUAGGAGCUCUUAAAAUAGCUUGAAGCCCAUAUUUAUCCAAUUAAAAUAUGAGCGAUCCAAGUCAUUAAAUAUGGAUAAAAUAGACUCAUUUCAUUAAUAUGGAUCGAAAUUGCCACCCCUAGAGUUAUUAGGAAAAAUAAUGCAUGUAUUAGCCUUGUGUAUUCCUAGCACCUUGUUUGGAACUAUUUUUCAACCUAUGUAUAACUAAUGCUUGCAUUAGUUAUACACUCUAUUGUGUAUUAAGGUGUGCAUUACUAAUACCAUGAAUUUUUAGGUAUUAGCAAUGCAAUGGUUUUAAUGCAUGCAUUAACAUGAUAAAAGACUCAAUUGCACCUCAAAACUUUUUUUUCCAUCUUCUCCACCAUAAAAGUGAAGGGUAUCUUUGUAAAUAAUUGUUUUUAAUGCAAUACAUACUAUUUUUAAUGCUUCAAACCAAACAAUGUGAAGAAACACAAUCCAUAUGCUUGCCUCUGUAGCACGCAUGAAUUAGCUGGUUUUGGGUGACUUGAAUUGUUAGUUUGUUUGCUCUUUUUUUUUUUGCCUAAUUUUGAAUUGCAAUUGUAGCCAAAUUUCUUUGGAAAAUAGCCACCAUGGAUUAUUGUUAUAGCCCUCAAUUAAUUACCUAUUUUUCCACUCUACAUAAAUUAUUGUUAUAGCCCUCAAUUAAUUGAAUCUAAGUCAUUGAUAUCAAUAUUAGACAUGUGACAAUUGACGCUCAUUCAAGAAAUAAUUUGGGGGAAAUAAAGAUGAUAGUUAAAUCCCUUUUCUAUAAAUAUGGUUCUCCUAACACUAUAAGAAUUGAUUCCUAAAUAUUGAUAAGGUAAAAUAAAGGUAAAUGUGGUUAAAAUAUAAAUAGUACAACUCACAUAACAUAUUGUACAAUUAAGUAUUGCAGUGUUAGUCCUUUUUGUUGUUGGCAUAUAUAUAUAUAGGGGCGGAUCUACGUGGAUAGGUGGGGGUGCCACGGCUCCCAAUGAUCUCGUAAAAAAUGUUGUAUAUAUAUGUAUAUAUGUCUAAUAAUUCAAUAUAUAUUACGUUUGCCACCUAGUAACUGAAAUGCAGAACAACUCAAUUUGCGAAGGAGAUGGUGUGCCACACAGCCAGAGGCGAAUUCAGAAUUUUAAAAAGACGGGUGCACCAUUUUCAGGACCGGCCGCCCCUUUAUGAAAAAGACAACCAUUUUAGGCUCUCAAAUUUGAGGGCCUCAUUUAUUUUAGCAAUAAUAGAUUAUAGGUUUUUCAUAAGAUAACUAUUAAAUACGAUUUGCGAAAAAAAAAAUAUUCAAGGAAAAAAUUAUUAAAAGUUUGAUAUAUCUCGAGUACUAUGUUACAAGAAAAAAUCAAUGCAUUGGAAUAUAUAUAUAUAUAUAAAUGUAUAUGCAAUUUUGCAUCUCAAGAAAUUUAAAAGUACACUUUACAGAAGGAAGAUGAAAAUUUUUCAAAAAAAUAACAUACAAUGGUGCUUUUUAAUUAAUUUUUAAAAAUAAAUCUUCUCUAGAGAUCGAACCCUCAACCUCACAAUCAAAAACCAACACUCGAACUAGUGAACCAUCCACUAAUUUGUUAUCAUGUGUUCCAUUAUUUGAAAAUUUACAUAUUUUAAGAAUUAUACAAAUAAUAUAUCGAGUUUUGUCGGAUGACCACGGGUUUCGAUGUCCCAUUUUUUACACUUAAAUUCUCCCUUGCACACAACCAAUGCGGGUUCGAAUCUCGCUGCCAACACCUAAUUUUUUGCUUGCUCCUUUUUUUCUUUUCUUUUCUUUUUUGUCUUUUUCAUUAGUGUGUAAAGGGCUUAAUUUUUCUCUCCAUUCAUUCUUAUUUAUUUACUAUUCUUUAUUAAUUCAAAUUGACUUCUUUUCAUAAUUAAUUUUUAAUUUUUUUACUUUCUCUUGCACUAAUUAUUAAUCUCUUGAUAUGCGUGUUACAUGUUUAUUUUUUAUCAACUAAUGAGUACUGAAUUAUGAACGUCAAAUAAAUAUUAUUAAGAAUAUAUUUAAAUAGUAGUUUUUAAAAAAUACAAGUUUUAAAAAUGAUGAAUAUUAUUAUUAGAGUUUUUUUUAAUUUAAAGGUUCUAUCGAUCUUCACCGACGUUCUUGCUAAGUAAGAUGACUAGGCUGAAACUACAAUUUUUAUUCUUUUCUUACUAUAUAUCUCCAACAACACAUAAAGUCAAUGGUAUAUGAAUAUAUUAUGUUAAUAUUAUUAGAUGGUUUAUACAAGCUCAAAUUUUAAUGUGAAAAAUCUUUUUUUUCUCAAAGUUUCAGUGAAUAAGACAUCUAAUUCCAAAAAUGAAAUAAAAAUUGAAUUGUUUAGUUAUCUCUAAUCUCAGGAUAUCUAAAAGAAAAUAUUACUAACAUGCAUAUUUGAUCGAUUUGUUUAUAAAAUAAAAUAAAAUCAAUAACCCGAAUUGUAACCUAAAAUUAAAGCAACCGAUCCUUUUAUCUUGCUUGAACGUUAUGACACCCACUGACCUCCAAAUCCUAGAUCCACCUUUAUAUAUAUGAUUAUGUUCUAUAUAAUAGUAAAUCAUUAGCCGUCACGCAACUACAAUACAUACAGAAAUUUGAACUUUAUUUGAAGAGUACACUUGUCAUGCCUAGUAUAACUAGUAUAAUUAAUAGAAUUUUUAAAAAAUAUUUUCCAUAUAGCUAAACUUUUUCUAACCUAUAAAACUAUGAUAUAUGCUUUAUAAAUUUUUCCAUAAUUAUUCCAUCCAUGGAGAGAAUUAAGGAAAAUAGUCCUAGUAUCCUAAUAUUUCCAUGGUUAGGUUUUGGCCAUGUAAAUCCCUUUUUGGCACUAGCCAAGAAAUUAUCAAAAAUGAAUUUUCACAUAUAUUUUCUUUCUACAUCAAUUAUUCUCAAAUCUAUCAAGGAAACCCUAGAUAAAAACUCAACUAAUUAUAAUCUCUCCAUACAACUUGUUGAAUUUCACUUGCCUUAUUUGCAUGAGUUACCUCCUCACUACCAUACAACUAAAGACCUCCCUCCCCAUCUCCAUUCCACUCUCAUUCAAGCCUUCCAAAUGGCUUCUUCCGAAUUUCCAAGCAUAAUUGAAACCCUAAAACCUAACCUGAUUAUAUAUGAUGGGUUCCAACCAUGGGUAGCAACUAUGGCUUCAUCAUGUAAUAUUCAUGCUAUUAUGUUUUAUGUUUCUUCAACUUCAGGUCUUGCCUACCUUUACCACCAAUUUCUUCAUGGG
RNAcentral lists this long non-coding RNA (18706 nucleotides) under Solanum tuberosum (potato). RNAcentral's name for it is "long non-coding RNA (STUB_LNC009409)". The record is from RNAcentral. Lineage: Eukaryota; Viridiplantae; Streptophyta; Magnoliopsida; Solanales; Solanaceae.